UGUCUAUUAAUUGUAGACCAGCAUGAAAGGCAAAAUGAGGGUUUAACUGUCUCUUAUAAUAAAUCAAUUAAACUGAUCUCCCAGUAAAAAAGCUGGAAUACCCACAUAAGACCAGAAGACCCUGUGAAGCUUAAACUAAACUAUUAAACCUCAUAAUAAUUACUUUCGGUUGGGGCGACCUUGGAAAAAAAAAGAACUUCCAAACACAGUGACUAUAACUCACACCCACACCUUAAGGCCUACAAGCCUCCAAACGACCCAGCACAGCUGACAAUUGAACCAAGUUACUCCAGGGAUAACAGCGCCAUCUUCUUCAAGAGUCCAUAUCAAAAAGAAGGUUUACGACCUCGAUGUUGGAUCAGGACAUCCUAAUGGUGCA
Molecule: ribosomal RNA, 379 nt
Filed under: Arrhyton taeniatum
Lineage: Eukaryota; Metazoa; Chordata; Lepidosauria; Squamata; Dipsadidae
Description: partial 16S ribosomal RNA
Rfam family: Bacterial large subunit ribosomal RNA
Source: RNAcentral